UAUUUGAGGGACACCUUGUGGGGCUCAUUCCGCAUUCUAUUUCAAUGAUCCAAACUGUCUAUUUUUCAAGUCUUCAUCCAUAGAUCAUCCUUAAAAAAAAUUGGGCAAAUCAUAAACCAUUAAGACAUCUAUAUGAAAAUGAUGAACAGUGUUUUGAGUAUCUAUGGAUGAUGACUUAAAAAAUAGACUGUUCGGAUCAUUGAAAUAGAAAGUGGAAUGGGCCUUACAAGGGUGUCCCUCAAAUA
This 245-nucleotide microRNA precursor is filed under the name Prunus dulcis (almond). Its description in RNAcentral is "sRNA ncRNA". The record is from RNAcentral. Lineage: Eukaryota; Viridiplantae; Streptophyta; Magnoliopsida; Rosales; Rosaceae.